UACGUAGGGACCAAGCGUUGUUCGGAUUUACUGGGCGUAAAGGGCGCGUAGGCGGCGUGACAAGUCACUUGUGAAAUCUCUGGGCUUAACCCAGAACGGCCAAGUGAAACUGUUGUGCUAGAGUGCAGAAGGGGCAAUCGGAAUUCUCGGUGUAGCGGUGAAAUGCGUAGAUAUCGAGAGGAACACCAGAGGUGAAGACGGGUUGCUGGGCUGACACUGACGCUGAUGCGCGAAAGCGUGGGGAGCGAACAGG
Molecule: ribosomal RNA, 253 nt
Filed under: uncultured bacterium
Lineage: Bacteria
Description: partial 16S ribosomal RNA
Rfam family: Bacterial small subunit ribosomal RNA
Source: RNAcentral